GCAUGGCGCUGCUAUACAUGCAAGUCGAGCGGACAGAUGGGAGCUUGCUCCCUGAUGUUAGCGGCGGACGGGUGAGUAACACGUGGGUAACCUGCCUGUAAGACUGGGAUAACUCCGGGAAACCGGGGCUAAUACCGGAUGGUUGUUUGAACCGCAUGGUUCAAACCUUAAAAGGUGGCUUCGGCUACCACUUACAGAUGGACCCGCGGCGCAUUAGCUAGUUGGUGAGGUAACGGCUCACCAAGGCAACGAUGCGUAGCCGACCUGAGAGGGUGAUCGGCCACACUGGGACUGAGACACGGCCCAGACUCCUACGGGAGGCAGCAGUAGGGAAUCUUCCGCAAUGGACGAAAGUCUGACGGAGCAACGCCGCGUGAGUGAUGAAGGUUUUCGGAUCGUAAAGCUCUGUUGUUAGGGAAGAACAAGUACCGUUCGAAUAGGGCGGUACCUUGACGGUACCUAACCAGAAAGCCACGGCUAACUACGUGCCA
Molecule: ribosomal RNA, 491 nt
Filed under: Bacillus subtilis
Lineage: Bacteria; Bacillati; Bacillota; Bacilli; Caryophanales; Bacillaceae
Description: bacterial SSU rRNA
Rfam family: Bacterial small subunit ribosomal RNA
Source: RNAcentral